CAGGGCGUGGUGCAGUUUGGUAGCAUACCUGUUUUGGGAACAGGAGGUCGUUGGUUCAAAUCCAGUCGCCCUGA
Molecule: transfer RNA, 74 nt
Filed under: Medakamo hakoo
Lineage: Eukaryota; Viridiplantae; Chlorophyta; Trebouxiophyceae; Coccomyxaceae
Description: trnP-UGG
Rfam family: tRNA
About the family: Transfer RNA (tRNA) molecules are approximately 80 nucleotides in length. Their secondary structure includes four short double-helical elements and three loops (D, anti-codon, and T loops).
Source: RNAcentral